Paralichthys olivaceus (Japanese flounder) is the source of this 481-nucleotide non-coding RNA. Lineage: Eukaryota; Metazoa; Chordata; Actinopteri; Pleuronectiformes; Paralichthyidae. The record is from RefSeq and is a predicted model, not a curated record.
AUCAUGGCGAUGCACGAGGCUCUGUGAGCAGGAGCCCCGCCGUGUUCACAGCUCCUCUCCCCGGCUCGGGGGCUCAACGUGCGGCGGACGCUCCUCGCGGCGAGCCUCGCCUCCCAUCGUCCCCCGGAUCCGCUUCAACCUCCUCUCCUCUCUCCAUCCUUCCUCCAGAGAAAAGGAGAAGGGGAAGACGAAGCGGCGCACGCCGAGAGCGGGGGCGACAGGACCGGGGAAAGUAACUGGAGCACAGAGAAAUCAUCCAGGGUCUCCUGCCUGGGACUCCAGCCUGAAGGGCCCAGCUUGAGUGCAGCGAAGUGUCCCCAGGGAAGGAGAGUGCAGCUUGGUCUUUAACUGAUCCAACACUCCCACUGCUUACCUUCGAUUUACCGUUCCAAUAAAGAACUUCCUCUUCGCCCUGGGGCCCUGACUCCACAUUCUUCCGGUUCUCUCACACCUCAAUCUUCUCAGCUCUCCUCGAUCAACC